UUCCCAGGGUGAGCACAACCAGCUCUGGAGCAAACAAGAGGCGCUCGGAGAAGCUGCCGCUACUAGAAGAGAAGCGCGGAUGUUGUAGUGGGCACAGCGCAUUUUGUCACCGCGGGCAGGUUGGGGCAGACUUGGGACCGCUGCGGCAGACGGCGGAGCAGCAGGCUGGCUUUUGGCACGUUACGGACCUGGGCGGACGGGAAAGCAAGACCACAAUGGUCUGCUCACCAUGUGGCAUCAUCAAUGCUGCAGAAUGAACGAGAAGAAACACUUGAGAAGUCAGUGCUGCUGCACGUUCCCUAAAUCCCAAAUCCAUGGCACAAUCAACACCAGUGACAGCAGUUAGGAAAUCAGACAUCAAGCUACAACCAGCAGUUCUGAGGUUAGACAGCGUCAGGAUACAACCAUCCAGAUGUUGUAAGAGCUGGAACUUAGAAAAGCUGAAGAAGGAUGUCAGUCACCGAGAAAAAUGAUAUAUUUACAACGCUGUCUGGUUUGGGGAAGUUAAAACACAGCGCUAAAGUUCUGCGGUGGUGAGCAAUGAGGAACGCGACAGGAGGCGACAAGGCAGCCACGCAGGCGGCAGCCCGGGGCUGGGGCUCGCCGAGCCCACGUCCCAGCUGGAGAAAGCGGUUUAAGGGGUUAUUUAUCAGCAAUUUCUCUACUGUGCACCACAGCCUUUACUAAUGUGCUUAAAACUUUGUUGAUAAACGGCAAAUUGGAGGGGGUGCAGGGAGAGGAUGAAAGAGGCUUAACGCACAGAUCCCCCCAUCUGGGAUCCUGGUGCAAGGGCUUUCUGUGGCGGG
Long non-coding RNA from Rhea pennata, 806 nucleotides. RefSeq lists it as uncharacterized. NCBI's taxonomy places the organism in Eukaryota, Metazoa, Chordata, Aves, Rheiformes, Rheidae. The transcript is spliced from 3 exons. The record is from RefSeq and is a predicted model, not a curated record.